AAGAUUUUAAGUUAAAUAAACUUUUAACCUUCAAAGUUAAAUAUAAAGGAUAUUCUUUAAGUCUUA
This 66-nucleotide transfer RNA is filed under the name Inocellia elegans. RNAcentral describes it as "tRNA-Trp". Lineage: Eukaryota; Metazoa; Arthropoda; Insecta; Raphidioptera; Inocelliidae. The record is from RNAcentral.